Non-coding RNA from Styela clava, 313 nucleotides. Lineage: Eukaryota; Metazoa; Chordata; Ascidiacea; Stolidobranchia; Styelidae. The record is from RefSeq and is a predicted model, not a curated record.
CACUCGUAACAAUACAUAGUAAAGGCAAUACAGAGAGUAUUGAGUAAGUGGAUUAUUACACGCGACAGCAGAUUUAUAAACCGAUGUUUCAACAACAAUGACACAUUUGGUGGAAAAGAAACCUCCUUUCGUUGAAUCAAACACUGUCCAGAAUUGUCAUAAUUGCGAACAGGUAUUCAUAGACUUCAGGAUUAACUGCAGAGCAUGUGGGAAUGUUGUUUGUGAUGAAUGCAGCAAAAAUCGAAUUUGGCUUCAAUACCUUCCCACAGGGAAGCCUCAAAAAGUUUGCGACAACUGCUUAAAUAAAAUUCAG